UACGUAGGGUGCAAGCGUUGCCCGGAUUUAUUGGGCGUAAAGAGCGUGUAGGCGGCCAGGUAGGUCUGGUGUGAAAACUCGAGGCUUAACCUCGAGAUGUCAUCGGAAACCAUCUGGCUAGAGUCCGGAAGAGGAGAGUGGAAUUCCUGGUGUAGCGGUGAAAUGCGCAGAUAUCAGGAAGAACACCAAUGGCGAAAGCAGCUCUCUGGGACGGUACUGACGCUGAGACGCGAAAGCGUGGGGAGCGAACAGG
This 253-nucleotide ribosomal RNA is filed under the name uncultured bacterium. RNAcentral's name for it is "partial 16S ribosomal RNA". It matches the Rfam family "Bacterial small subunit ribosomal RNA", at positions 524 to 776 of the family's 1533-position model. The record is from RNAcentral.